UUCUUUUUUUCUUCUCCAGCCGGUCCCACAGCUCCCUCCGUGUCUCUGCUCCCUCCGUCUCCUCUGCAGCUGUCUGAAGGAUCGGCCUCGCUGCUCUGCCUGCUGUCUGGCUACUCUCCACAGGGGGCGCUGGUGAGCUGGACAGUGGACGGCUCCCAGGUGAACACCGGGGUUCUGACCAGUGCGGAAGAAGAGAAGAGUGGCCGUUACAGCCGCAGCAGCACCCUGACCCUCAGCAAAGACCUCUGGGAAAAGGGGGAGGAGUUCAGCUGUAAGGUCUCCCAUAACAACGCCAAUCAUCCAGUCACGUUCAGAAAGAGUCAGUGUGAAGGCUAGUGGAUCCAAGCUAGAGUUUAACAUAGAGCUGCUUAUCAUCCAUCCUAAAUAGAGUUUCAAUUCUACACAAUGCUGACAUUUCUGUCUUUACUCUCUUCACUGUCCUGUUGCUCUUCCUGUAGUUUUUGCUGAAAUAAAGCUGAGUUUUGGACGUUGUCUGUUCUUUUAUUCCAGUUAAUAGUGAUGAUCAGUGUGAUGAGAGAGUGGGAUUAGCUGUAGAUUCAGUGCUGUGUGUUGUGCUUCAGUGAGUUUGACUGAAGGAAGUUGAACAUCUGGUGAAAUUUCUGCUCUAUUCUGGGAGAAAUGAAACUCUUCAGUCCUGUUAAUGUAAAUCUCACUUCCUCCUCACUGCUCUCUCUUUAAGUGAGGA
Non-coding RNA from Hemibagrus wyckioides, 706 nucleotides. The record is from the annotation of a RefSeq genome assembly. Lineage: Eukaryota; Metazoa; Chordata; Actinopteri; Siluriformes; Bagridae.